CCGACUCCUACGGGAGGCAGCAGUGGGGAAUAUUGCACAAUGGGGGAAACCCUGAUGCAGCGACGCCGCGUGAGUGAAGAAGUAUUUCGGUAUGUCAAGCUCUAUCAGCAGGGAAGAUAAUGACGGUACCUGACUAAGAAGCCCCGGCUAACUACGUGCCAGCAGCCGCGGUAAUACGUAGGGGGCAAGCGUUAUCCGGAUUUACUGGGUGUAAAGGGAGCGUAGACGGCAGCGCAAGUCUGAAGUGAAAUGCCGGGGCUUAACCCCGGAACUGCUUUGGAAACUGUGCAGCUAGAGUGCAGGAGAGGUAAGUGGAAUUCCUAGUGUAGCGGUGAAAUGCGUAGAUAUUAGGAGGAACACCAGUGGCGAAGGCGGCUUACUGGACUGUAACUGACGUUGAGGCUCGAAAGCGUGGGGAGCAAACAGGAUUAGAUACCCCAGUAAA
RNAcentral lists this ribosomal RNA (445 nucleotides) under uncultured bacterium. RNAcentral describes it as "bacterial SSU rRNA". It matches the Rfam family "Bacterial small subunit ribosomal RNA", at positions 332 to 794 of the family's 1533-position model. The record is from RNAcentral.